GGGUAUUGCCAACUCUCAUGGUGUGACGGGCGGUGUGUACAAGGCCCGGGAACGUAUUCACCGCGACAUGCUGAUUCGCGAUUACUAGCAACUCCGGCUUCAUGCAGGCGAGUUUCAGCCUGCAAUCCGAACUGGGAUGAGUUUUGUGAGAUUGGCUCCACCUCGCGGUCUUGCGUCUCUUUGUUCUCACCAUUGUAGCACGUGUGUAGCCCUAGACAUAAGGGGCAUGAUGAUUUGACGUCAUCCCCACCUUCCUCCGAUUUAUCAUCGGCAGUCUCCUUAGAGUGCCCAGCUUAACCUGCUGGCAACUAAGGAUAAGGGUUGCGCUCGUUGCGGGACUUAACCCAACAUCUCACGACACGAGCUGACGACAACCAUGCACCACCUGUCACCCUUGCUCCCGAAGGAGAGGGCACAUCUCUGUGCCGGUCAAGGGGAUGUCAAGCCUUGGUAAGGUUCUUCGCGUUGCUUCGAAUUAAACCACAUGCUCCGCUGCUUGUGCGGGUCCCCGUCCAAUUCCUUUGAGUUUCAGUCUUGCGACCGUACUCCCCAGGCGGAGUGCUUAUUGUGUUUACUUCGGCACUGAAUAUCGCUACCCAACACCUAGCACUCAUCGUUUACAGCGUGGACUACCAGGGUAUCUAAUCCUGUUUGCUACCCACGCUUUCGUGACUCAGCGUCAGUUACAGUCCAGUAAGUCGCCUUCGCCACUGGUGUUCCUCCUAAUAUCUACGCAUUUCACCGCUACACUAGGAAUUCCACUUACCUCUCCUGCACUCAAGUAAUACAGUUUCAAAUG
This 799-nucleotide ribosomal RNA is filed under the name uncultured bacterium. Its description in RNAcentral is "partial 16S ribosomal RNA". The record is from RNAcentral.